Molecule: long non-coding RNA, 367 nt
Organism: Xiphophorus hellerii (green swordtail)
Lineage: Eukaryota; Metazoa; Chordata; Actinopteri; Cyprinodontiformes; Poeciliidae
Exons: 2
Source: RefSeq, a predicted model, not a curated record
UGAGGAUGGAGUAGCGUAGGAGGAAGCGCAUUGGACGGCGGGGGGGCGGUCACAUGACAGUGACAGCAUGUGCGCUUUAAAAGAAAGGAAAAUAGAGUUGGGCAUCAGAUGAGGAUCGGAGGCGACAUCUGCAAACUAACUGCGCCUCAUUUCUCUGCUGCUGCUCUUAUCUGCUUUUUAAAUGCUUUUUUUUUUUUUUUUUACACAAACACGGCUGAAAUAACUAAACUAUUCAGUUUCUGCAGAAUAAAGGCACAGCCCUUCACUGCGCUCGUCUUGAUCACAAUAGAGGGGAAGAGCGUCCAAUCAGAGAUUCACUCUUUCUAAAAGAGUUGACAAGAGCUUCUCCAGGGCCAGAACCACAUGG